This 1343-nucleotide ribosomal RNA is filed under the name Acinetobacter baumannii. Its description in RNAcentral is "partial 23S ribosomal RNA". It matches the Rfam family "Bacterial large subunit ribosomal RNA", at positions 1 to 1396 of the family's 2925-position model. The record is from RNAcentral. Lineage: Bacteria; Pseudomonadati; Pseudomonadota; Gammaproteobacteria; Moraxellales; Moraxellaceae.
AGUCAAGUAAUUAAGUGCAUGUGGUGGAUGCCUUGGCAGUCAGAGGCGAUGAAAGACGUGAUAGCCUGCGAAAAGCUCCGGGGAGGCGGCAAAUAUCCUUUGAUCCGGAGAUGUCUGAAUGGGGGAACCCACCUACUUUAAGGUAGGUAUUGCAACAUGAAUACAUAGUGUUGCAAGGCGAACGAGGGGAAGUGAAACAUCUCAGUACCCUUAGGAAAAGAAAUCAAUUGAGAUUCCCUCAGUAGCGGCGAGCGAACGGGGAUCAGCCCAUUAAGUUAUGUGUGUUUUAGUGGAACGCUCUGGGAAGUGCGAACGUAGAGGGUGAUAUUCCCGUACACGAAAGGGCACACAUAAUGAUGACGAGUAGGGCGAGGCACGUGAAACCUUGUCUGAAUAUGGGGGGACCAUCCUCCAAGGCUAAAUACUCCUGACUGACCGAUAGUGAACCAGUACCGUGAGGGAAAGGCGAAAAGAACCCCUGUGAGGGGAGUGAAAUAGAUCCUGAAACCGCAUGCAUACAAGCAGUGGGAGCACCUUCGUGGUGUGACUGCGUACCUUUUGUAUAAUGGGUCAGCGACUUAUAUUCAGUAGCAAGGUUAACCGUAUAGGGGAGCCGUAGAGAAAUCGAGUCUUAAUAGGGCGUUUAGUUGCUGGGUAUAGACCCGAAACCAGGCGAUCUAUCCAUGAGCAGGUUGAAGGUUGGGUAACACUAACUGGAGGACCGAACCCACUGUCGUUGAAAAGCCAGGGGAUGACUUGUGGAUAGGGGUGAAAGGCUAAUCAAGCCUGGUGAUAGCUGGUUCUCCCCGAAAGCUAUUUAGGUAGCGCCUCGGACGAAUACCAUAGGGGGUAGAGCACUGUUUCGGCUAGGGGGUCAUCCCGACUUACCAAACCGAUGCAAACUCCGAAUACCUAUGAGUACUAUCCGGGAGACAGACUGCGGGUGCUAACGUCCGUAGUCAAGAGGAAAACAAUCCAGACCGCCAGCUAAGGCCCCAAAAUCAUAGUUAAGUGGGAAACGAUGUGGGAAGGCAUAGACAGCUAGGAGGUUGGCUUAGAAGCAGCCACCCUUUAAAGAAAGCGUAAUAGCUCACUAGUCGAGUCGGCCUGCGCGGAAGAUGUAACGGGGCUAAAACUAUGUGCCGAAGCUGCGGAUUUGACAUUAGUCAAGUGGUAGGGGAGCGUUCUGUAAGCCGAUGAAGGUGUAUUGAGAAGUAUGCUGGAGGUAUCAGAAGUGCGAAUGCUGACGUGAGUAACGACAAAACGGGUGAAAAACCCGUUCGCCGAAAGACCAAGGGUUCCAGUCCAACGUUAAUCGGGGCUGGGUGAGUCGACCCCUAAGG